Molecule: long non-coding RNA, 1023 nt
Filed under: Homo sapiens (human)
Lineage: Eukaryota; Metazoa; Chordata; Mammalia; Primates; Hominidae
Description: HSALNT0114482
Source: RNAcentral
UUAGAUGUACCUUCUGUCUUAUCUGGAUGAACUAAAAACAGAAAUGGGUAGUUUUAUAGUUUUAUAAUAUUUUAUAAUAAUUGUAUAAUAAUAGGCUUUGUUGCUUUUGACAAAAAGAACUAUCUGUGAUGCAAGCAACAAUCUUGUGCCCUUAAAGCCCAUGUCCUCAAAUACUAAAGUAAACCUAAAAUCUUAGCAGUGUUCUUUAGGUGUUGCAAAGUGUUAGUAGGAAAAAUCCUAACUGUGCAAUGUCUCCAAAGUUUGUGGAGUUUUUUCCUUUAAGGAUAUUGUUUCUAGCUUAGCUGAAGUUCUCCAUCUCUAUGGGGAUUUCCUUUCACCCACUACUAGUCUUUAAGAACAUUUCAAUUUUACUGCUAUCAACUGCAAUUUCGUACUUUGAUAAGAUUCAUUACUGUACCCCAUCCUGAUCUCUUUUCAAAAUAUUGAUCAACUAGAUUACUAAAAUAAUCAAAAUAAUAGUGGAAAAGCUUUCUGUUUAUCCUUCACAUAUAUUUCUAUUAGUUGGUAAAAUCACCCACAUCCCCACUAAGUCCUGUACCAAGCAUAAAUACCACAUAGUAUAACAAGUACUAAGAAUUUUUGAAACUUAAUGUUACUGUUUUAUCAACCUGAAUGGAAAACUAUUUUGCAUUUUUUUCUUUUCUUUUUGUACUUCUGAAUUUGUGAAGUCAUAUCUUCAACAAUUCAUUCAACCAACUUUUAUUGAGAAUACCAUAUUGUAUGUGCCUCAAAUCAUCAUACACAGAGCAACUUGAUGAGUUUUCCUAAAUCUAAGCUCUGGCUGUAUCACCCCAAAGCCCCAUCAUUGCCUAUUGAAUUAAGUCAGAUUCCUUUCCUAGAAUUCAAGGGCCUCCAUAAUGCAUCGAUACCAUGAUCCAACUGAGCUGUCUUCCCACAUAUGUCCUGCCAUUUUCUCUGUCUUGGAAUGUUCUCUCUCUUGGUAUCUUUUUUUUCCAGUGGUGCCCAUUUGAAAUGCCUCCUUUUCCAUGAAGUCUGUCCUGU